RNAcentral lists this ribosomal RNA (266 nucleotides) under uncultured Exiguobacterium sp. RNAcentral's name for it is "partial 16S ribosomal RNA". It matches the Rfam family "Bacterial small subunit ribosomal RNA", at positions 1 to 248 of the family's 1533-position model. The record is from RNAcentral. Lineage: Bacteria; Bacillati; Bacillota; Bacilli; Caryophanales.
UAGUGAGUUUGAUCCUGGCUCAGGACGAACGCUGGCGGCGUGCCUAAUACAUGCAAGUCGAGCGCAGGAAACCGUCUGAACCCCUUCGGGGGGACGACGGCGGAAUGAGCGGCGGACGGGUGAGUAACACGUAAAGAACCUGCCCAUAGGUCUGGGAUAACCACGAGAAAUCGGGGCUAAUACCGGAUGUGUCAUCGGACCGCAUGGUCCACUGAUGAAAGGCGCUCCGGCGUCGCCCAUGGAUGGCUUUGCGGUGCAUUAGCUAG